GGGGACGUAGCUCAGUCGUAGAGCGCAUGCUUUGCAUGUAUGAGGUCCCGGGUUCAAUCCCCCCGCAUCUCCA
This 73-nucleotide transfer RNA is filed under the name Anguilla anguilla (European eel). It matches the Rfam family "tRNA". Rfam says of the family: Transfer RNA (tRNA) molecules are approximately 80 nucleotides in length. The record is from Rfam by way of RNAcentral. Lineage: Eukaryota; Metazoa; Chordata; Actinopteri; Anguilliformes; Anguillidae.